RNAcentral lists this transfer RNA (85 nucleotides) under Felis catus (domestic cat). It matches the Rfam family "tRNA". Rfam says of the family: Transfer RNA (tRNA) molecules are approximately 80 nucleotides in length. Their secondary structure includes four short double-helical elements and three loops (D, anti-codon, and T loops). Lineage: Eukaryota; Metazoa; Chordata; Mammalia; Carnivora; Felidae. The record is from Rfam by way of RNAcentral.
GCCUGGGUGGCUCAGUCGGUUAAGCGUCUGACUUCGGCUCAGGUCAUGAUCUCACGGUCUGUGAGUUCGAGCCCCGUAUCAGGCU